Molecule: ribosomal RNA, 276 nt
Filed under: uncultured Bifidobacteriaceae bacterium
Lineage: Bacteria; Bacillati; Actinomycetota; Actinomycetes; Bifidobacteriales; Bifidobacteriaceae
Description: partial 16S ribosomal RNA
Rfam family: Bacterial small subunit ribosomal RNA
Source: RNAcentral
AACGGGAUCGGCUGGAGCUUGCUCCGGCCGUGAGAGUGGCGAACGGGUGAGUAAUGCGUGACCGACCUGCCCCAUACACCGGAAUAGCUCCUGGAAACGGGUGGUAAUGCCGGAUGCUCCGACAUGACGCAUGUCGUGUUGGGAAAGAUUCAUCGGUAUGGGAUGGGGAUGCGUCUGAUUAGCUUGUUGGCGGGGUAACGGCCCACCAAGGCGACGAUCGGUAGGGGUUCUGAGAGGAAGGCCCCCACAUUGGGACUGAGACACGGCCCAAACUCC